This 492-nucleotide ribosomal RNA is filed under the name uncultured bacterium. Its description in RNAcentral is "partial 16S ribosomal RNA". It matches the Rfam family "Bacterial small subunit ribosomal RNA", at positions 29 to 507 of the family's 1533-position model. The record is from RNAcentral.
AGUGAACGCUGGCGGUAGGCCUAACACAUGCAAGUCGAACGGCAGCACCGUAAGAGCUUGCUCUUACGGGUGGCGAGUGUCGGACGGGUGAGUAAUACAUCGGAAUCUACUUUUUCGUGGGGGAUAACGUAGGGAAACUUCCGCUAAUACCGCAUACGACCUACUGGUGAAAGCAGGGGAUCUUCGGACCUUGCGCGAUUGAAUGAGCCGAUGUCGGAUUAGCUAGUUUGCGGGGUGAAGGCCCACCAAGGCGACCAUCCGUAGGGGGUCUCAGAGGAAGAACCGGCACACUGGAAGUGAGACACGGUCCAGACUCCGACGGGAGGAAGCAGUGGGGACUACUGGACAAUGGGGGAAAGCCUGAUCCAGCGAUACCGCGGGAGUGCAGACGGCCUUCGGCUGGUAGAACGCUUUUGUUGGGAAAGAAAAGCAGCAGUUUCAUACCGCGCUGUUCUGACGGUACCCAAAGAAGAAGCACCGGCUAACUUCGUG